UACGUAGGACCCAAGCGUUAUCCGGAUUGACUGGGCGUAAAGAGUUGCGUAGGUGGUAGUUCAAGCGAUUAGUGAAAUCUUGUGGCUCAACCAUAAGGCUAUUAUUCGAACUGUUCUACUCGAGAAGAGGAGAGGUAUCUGGAAUUCUUAGUGUAGGGGUAAAAUCCGUAGAUACUAGGAGGAACACCAAUGGCGUAGGCAGGAUACUGGACUCUUUCUGACACUAAGGCACGAAAGCGUGGGGAGCGAACCGG
Molecule: ribosomal RNA, 254 nt
Filed under: uncultured bacterium
Lineage: Bacteria
Description: partial 16S ribosomal RNA
Rfam family: Bacterial small subunit ribosomal RNA
Source: RNAcentral